AUGUGCAGCAAGAGUCAGACUGUCUUGGGAGGAGGAAACUGGACAGUCUCCGGAAGCAGGGGGGAAUCUCCCAUCAAGCAUUGCCAAGGAAGGAAUAGUGCAAUAAGGCAGCUUACCUGGAUCGUGGACACCUGGGCGGCCUACAAGGACUCACCCGCCCUGCGACAUGCUCCUGAGGCUGACUCCAAGGACACCCAGAAUUGUGCAACCCAGCCGGGGACGGGAGACCCGUGGGGAGACCUGGCGGAAGUUGGAUGCACCUGCUGCUGUCUGGGGGAAGGAGCAUCAAUCAGUAUGUAAAUCGUGUAAGUGAGGAUCCAAUCAGCGUGCCACGAAGUGAAAACGGCAUUUGAUUGGCUGGGACAUUUUAAGCCUAUGCUGCCCAUAAACAGUCUGGCUUGCCCAGCAACCACGUUUAACUUCACCUGAUUUCAUUUCCUUGAAGUGUUGAGGUUCAUUUUGCAAUGUUUUAGAGAGAGCCCUGGGCUGGGGCCGGGAGCCUGGGGAAUUGAGUGCCAUUUCUGCGACCGGUUGAGUGUCGGGAGUGAGGGGAAACUCACUUGAUAAUAGGCUGAGAAGUGGAAAGCGCAGCGGUCCAGGCUUCUCCCAGCACUGUGGCCUGCACGCCUGCCACGUUCUAUCCUGGGUGUUGGAGGUACCAGCUUCCUUCCCUACUCCUGGAAGGGAGGUACCAGGAUGUCAGCGCAGAGAGACAGGUCUCCCUGUGUCCUCUUGAGGGGGCCUGUUGUGGCCACUGGUUUUCCUCCUGGUACCCCUGUUGGCUUCUUCUUUUUUUUAAGUAUUUCUUUAUCUGAAAGGCAGAGUUACAGAGAGGGAGAGGCAGAACAGAGAGAGAGUAGUCUUCCAUCCAUUGGUUCACUCCUCAAAUGACCACAACAAACGGCUGUGCCAGGCUGAAGCCAGGAACGUCUUCCGGGUCUCCCACGUGGGUACAGGAACCCAAGGACUUGAACCAUUUUCCACUGCUUUCCCAGGCCAUAGCAGAGAGCUGGAUCGGAAGUGGAACAGCCAGGACUGGAACCGGUGCCCAUAUGGGAUGCUGGCACGGCAGGCAGAGGCUUAGCCUACUACGGCCACAGCACCAGCCCCUGGCUUUCCUUUCACUAAAACUAUGGAGAUCACUUGUUAUGUGAUAGGCCAGGAGCUGGCGCUGGGGAGAUGUUUGAAAUCUGGACCACAGAAGAACCAGUGGUUCCUCCGUUGGCUCCAGCAGGAGGCAGGAUCCUGGGUGCUUGCUGUCCCACGUGGGGCAGCAGAGCUGUGCGUGCGUGCGGGCACG
RNAcentral lists this long non-coding RNA (1300 nucleotides) under Oryctolagus cuniculus (rabbit). RNAcentral's name for it is "lncRNA (ENSOCUG00000034401.1)". Lineage: Eukaryota; Metazoa; Chordata; Mammalia; Lagomorpha; Leporidae. The record is from RNAcentral.